This 356-nucleotide ribosomal RNA is filed under the name uncultured bacterium. Its description in RNAcentral is "bacterial SSU rRNA". It matches the Rfam family "Bacterial small subunit ribosomal RNA", at positions 28 to 319 of the family's 1533-position model. The record is from RNAcentral.
GAUGAACGCUGGCGGCGUGCCUAAUACAUGCAAGUCGAGCGGUAAGGCUUUCACAGAUUAUUUAACCAGAUAAGUUCUUCGGAAAACUGUCUGCAGCGUUGUUCUCCCGGCUAGGAGAAUAAGGUUGAAUAAUGCGUGAAAGUACACGAGCGGCGGACGGCUGAGUAACACGUAGGAACGUACCCCAAAGUGAGGGAUAAGCACCGGAAACGGUGUCUAAUACCGCAUGUGAUCUUCGGAUUAAAGCUUCGGCGCUUUGGGAACGGCCUGCGCAUGAUUAGCUUGUUGGUGAGGUAAAAGCUCACCAAGGCGACGAUCAUUAGCUGGUCUGAGAGGAUGAUCAGCCAGACUGGGAC